This 209-nucleotide ribosomal RNA is filed under the name uncultured bacterium. RNAcentral's name for it is "partial 16S ribosomal RNA". It matches the Rfam family "Bacterial small subunit ribosomal RNA", at positions 1293 to 1500 of the family's 1533-position model. The record is from RNAcentral.
UCGGACUGGAGUCUGCAACCCGACUCCACGAAGUUGGAUUCGCUAGUAAUCGCGCAUCAGCCAUGGCGCGGUGAAUACGUUCCCGGGCCUUGUACACACCGCCCGUCACACCAUGGGAGCCGGUAACGCCCGAAGUCAGUGACCCAACCGUAAGGAGGGAGCUGCCGAAGGUGGAGCCGGUAACUGGGGUGAAGUCGUAACAAGGUAGC